This is a long non-coding RNA of Poecilia latipinna (sailfin molly), 222 nucleotides long. RefSeq lists it as uncharacterized. The transcript is spliced from 3 exons. The record is from RefSeq and is a predicted model, not a curated record. NCBI's taxonomy places the organism in Eukaryota, Metazoa, Chordata, Actinopteri, Cyprinodontiformes, Poeciliidae.
CUGUUCUGUCAAUGAGAGGCUUCGGAUGAACAUCGGUGAUCAAACGGCAUCAUGAAGACCAAGGAGCUCAGCAGACGACUCAGAGGAGAAGUUUAAAGUGUGGAGCACAAAUGAAGGGGAGACGAGGCCCAGCGCUGCAACAAAACGCUCAGUUUAUCAUCUCCAAGCGCAAAAACCUCAUGGGCUUGACACAAUAAACACACCGUUGCCAGAUGAGGACAA